GUGGGGAAUUUUGGACAAUGGGCGCAAGCCUGAUCCAGCCAUGCCGCGUGAGUGAAGAAGGCCUUCGGGUUGUAAAGCUCUUUCGGCCGGGAAGAAAUCGGCGACUCUAACAUAGUCGCUGGCUGACGGUACCGGACUAAGAAGCACCGGCUAACUACGUGCCAGCAGCCGCGGUAAUACGUAGGGUGCGAGCGUUAAUCGGAAUUACUGGGCGUAAAGCGUGCGCAGGCGGUUUUGUAAGACAGAUGUGAAAUCCCCGGGCUUAACCUGGGCACUGCGUUUGUGACUGCAAGGCUAGAGUACGGCAGAGGGGGGUGGAAUUCCUGGUGUAGCAGUGAAAUGCGUAGAUAUCAGGAGGAACACCGAUGGCGAAGGCAGCCCCCUGGGCCUGUACUGACGCUCAUGCACGAAAGCGUGGGGAGCAAACAGGAUUAGAUACCCCGGUAGUCC
RNAcentral lists this ribosomal RNA (450 nucleotides) under uncultured bacterium. RNAcentral describes it as "partial 16S ribosomal RNA". It matches the Rfam family "Bacterial small subunit ribosomal RNA", at positions 354 to 796 of the family's 1533-position model. The record is from RNAcentral.